Myodes glareolus (Bank vole) is the source of this 2844-nucleotide non-coding RNA. NCBI's taxonomy places the organism in Eukaryota, Metazoa, Chordata, Mammalia, Rodentia, Cricetidae. The record is from RefSeq and is a predicted model, not a curated record.
CCUACAUGUAUAUGUGUACACACACACACGUGUAUACACACACAGAGUGAGAAACAUGCAUUCUGGAUGUGAAACACAGCGGACUUCAGAGACUCCAUAUGAAGGAGGGACUCUCUGUGUAGCCCUGACUGUCCUGGAACUUGAUCUGAAGACCAGACUGGCCUUGAAUUCAGAGAUCCAGCUACCUCCAUCUAGUAUUCAAGCUGGAUGUGAUGGCACAAACCUGUAAUCCCAACAUUGAGAAGACUGAGGCAGGAGGAUUGCUGCAAGUUGGAGGAUAGCCUUGGCUACAGCAUGAGUGACUGAUCUCAAGAAACAAACCAAUGAUUCUCUACAUAACUGGGGAGACCAGAAGUCCAAAUUCAAGGUGAGUGGGGCCUGGGUGAUGUUCCUUCCCAAAGCACCAGGGUGGAGCCUCUCUGGUCUUUUCCAGAUCCGGGCAAACCCCUUGUGUUCCUGUCUGUGAAGGCAGCACUCUGGCCUCACCGUCACAUGGCCCCAGCUCUUCUCUCUAUCCCUGGAUUCCCUCUGUCCCUCAUGUGACACCCGUGUAAAGGAGGGUGCCAGAUGACCUCAUCUCAAGAGUCUCCCUUACUCACCUUGGCUAAUCCCCCUUUCUUCUCCUCCUUCAUUCCUGGAGACAAGGUUUCUCGAACAGUAACAGCCCUGGCUGUCCUGGAACUCACUCUGUAGACCAGGCUGACCUCGAACUCUCUGAGAUCCACCUGCCUCUGCCUCCAAAUGCAGGGAUUAAAGGUGUGCACAAUCACUGCCACACGGUUACCCUUCUUCUAAUAGAUCAUGUUAGCAAGUUCUAGGAUUUGGGCAUGGUUAUAUCUUCUGAGGAGACCAGCAUUCAGACAGCUGCUGCAGAGUCUGAAGCAAGCAUCCUGAGGGAGGCUUCUUCUUGUUAUGAGAAUUUGGAUGUUUGGAUGAGGAAUGAUUGACCCUGAGAGAUAGCUUCAGGUGCCUAAAAUAGGGGGCGAGGCUUGACUUGCCUACUUUGGGGCAUAAUGAGGUCGAAUGGGGUCCUAACAAUAUAGGGGGCAAGUGUAGGUUGUUUAUUGGGCUUUGGGGGCAUAACCCAUUGGGACUGUCUGAGGUAGGGAGAUUAGCCAACUUGCUGGGGUACUUUCUCAUGAGUUGGGGUGACUGAGGUGAAAACUCAGGGGUAUAUAUUAAGGAGGAGAAGCCAGGGCAAGAGAGCAUAAGGCAUUACCAAAGUGGUGGGGCACACCUGUAAACCCAGACCAGCAGUUUGAGGCAGGAGGAUUGCUGGCUGGCCUGUGAGCCUGUCUCCAAACAGAAGAAACCAAACAAAAGCCACACACAUGUCUUUUAGGGUAUUAGUAAUCUUGCCCUGAUGUCACCUUUGGAGGUGACACCAUCUAGUGAGAUGACCAGAGUCAGGGACACUUGGGGCCCCUGAUCUUAGCGCAGUGACAAAGACUAAGGAACCAGAAUGUCUACUUUGGGGAACACUUACCAUGGAUGGGGCCCAGUUUUGGAACUGACACUGGAGAUUCAGUUGCACGGUUUAGGGAGUGUCAGUCGAAUACUGUAGUCUGAGUGUGUUGAAAUGGGGUCAUGUGAGGAGUGGAGGUCGGUUGGCCAGACCAUGAGUGAUCUACCUUAAGGCCUUGCAGAUUCAUUGAGGAAAACAGAAUUUGUUUGUCCAUUUCAGGACCCUCGUUUCUAAUUUGGGGAGCGAGUGCUAGUUUAGAGGUGACUCGUGAAGUUACUGGUACUGGUUUUGGGAAGACCAUUUCUGUAUCCUUAGGGACUGGCCUGGAGUCCUUGGUUAGGGUGUCUGAGGCUGGGUUACACUUAGAGAAGUGGUUGUUUAUCCAGGUGACCUGAGAUAACCCAACUGGAGACCUGGACUUGAUGCUGCCGGCUUCUCAGGGGAGGAGGGCUUCACCCACCUGGUGUGGGUAUCUAAUGAGUCUUUUAUGGAAAUCUGACAUUAGGGCCUCUGGGUUCUGUGCCAGUUCAGGGAGCUGCUCCCAAGGCAGCACCCCACCCUCCAAAACAUUCAGGGGGACAGCUCAAUCAGGGGUAACUUUCUUGGGGGUCACAUGCCUAGAAUACAUGCCAGUAGAGACAGUGGUGAGAUGAGGUGGGGCGCUGCUGCGGCAGCGGUGGGCUGCAAGCUGGGGAUCCCGCGGGAAGCGGAGCGCAGCGGGGCAGCCGGCGGCGGGAGGGCGAGCGCCGGAGUGACAGCAGAGGAAGAAAAAUGGGCCGAGAAAUCAGAGUGGACGCGCUGGGGGCGCGAGUCCGGGAGCGGGUGGCAGCGAAGGCUGCGGGUGGGGGCCGCGCCUCGGCCUCCAGGGAUGCCGCCCGCCUGCCUGUCGGGCCCCCGCCCUGGAGGCCACAUCCAGAGAUCCGACCCUCUCUCUUAACUCCCAUCCAGCGCAUCUUCGCCUGGUCCCCGCUCCCCCCCCCCCCCAAUCACGGUGCAGGUCCCUUCUGGUUGUGUACACAGCCCCCGUCUGCGUCCUAAUUCUAUCCCCUCAAGUUGUAUCCCCUCAGGUUGUAGCCCUUCUCCCCGUGUUCUUUUCUCCUUCCACCCACGUUCUAGGCCCCAUGUCGGCAUUCUAGUCCCCUCGCCCGGGUUCUAACCCCCACCCCGCAGAGUUAUAGCUCUUCUCCCCAAUUUCAUCUUCCUCUCUCCGUCUGUGUUCUAGUCCUCCCGAUUCAUUCUAAUUCCCCACUCCGCGUUUUGGUUGCCCCAUCAACCUCCUACUCUGCCCCGCCCGCGUUUGAACACAUACCUCUGCCAGUGUUCUAGUCCCCCGAGUCCCCCGUCUGUGUUCAAACCUCUCUGCCAGAGUCCUAGUGCCC